Molecule: RNA transcript, 1308 nt
Organism: Acinonyx jubatus (cheetah)
Lineage: Eukaryota; Metazoa; Chordata; Mammalia; Carnivora; Felidae
Gene name: translation initiation factor IF-2-like
Exons: 3
Source: RefSeq, a predicted model, not a curated record
UCGUAGGGCCACAUGUCAAGAUAUUUGUCCGGAAAAUCGCCAUUAUUAUGGUGACAUUUAAAGGAGUUUACCUGUCUGCUUUUGGUGUAGCGCCAAAUCUUCUGGGGACAUUCAAUGGACACACAGACUUUUUGGAGGGGCUUGGGAUGGGGACCCCUGCGGACCAUCCUAGGGGAAAAUCAAAGACCCACCGUUCAGAACCACACCCACAGCCCUAGAGAGGAGGACGGAUUUCUGUCUGCCGGAGACGGCUGGGCGCCCCCUCGGAAGUGCGGCAGCCACAGACCCACGACCCGCCGGCCCUCCCCCGCCUCCGUCCGCUCCCGGGCUUCCGAGAGUCCCCGGAGCGCGGCCGCCCUCCCCGCCCCGGGCCCCCCGCGCGCGCCACCCCUGCCCACAGCGGCGAGGACAGGGGCGCCGGCUCCGGGAGCAGGGGCCGGGGUGGGGGUGGGGGAGCACUCCCCGGGAGAGGACAAGGCUCGGCGCCAGCCUCGCCUCGCCCCGAGAGGCCGGGAGCGCGAGGCCGCCGGGGCCCGCAGCCCGCCCGGGACUAAGACGAGAAGCAGCCGUUCCGGAUUCGCCGGUUGCAGCCACUGGACAGACCGAGCGGCUGCUCGCUCCCUUUGGGGAGCGCGAAAGUGAAGCCUAAUUGACAACUGGUUUGCAGCACAAACAGCUGAGGGGUCUUGCCUGGGUCCUCUCUCGGUGCGUCCACCGAAGGAAACGUCGCCUGGAGGGGGCGCCUGCUGCGCGGCUGGGACUGUCCUGGGAGCGGCCCAAGGAAAGAGAAAGCAAGCAGGCCACCAGGUGGCGCGCAGGUUUGGUUCCUACAAAACAAGUUGUAGUUCAAAAGGCUCCAUGAGACUCAGCCCGUGACUGUUUCAACGCUUGGCCGUCUCCUUCCUGGAAGGUGGCACGGACAUGCAGGGCUGGUAACCCUAGGCCCACUGAUGUGAACUCGAAGACGUCCGGGCUAAUGCCCGCUGCUGGCUUAGACAGUCUUGGAUCUUGUUUUCUGUUGUGGUUUGCUGCUGAGGAGGAGGAAGUUCCUCCUCCCCUCUCUCCCAGCUUAUCCACCUGCAAGGGCUCUUCCGGUGCUGCUGAUCGACAGCACUACCUGGAAAAGUGUAAUUACAGCCUAAUGAAUAGGUAGGUAUGAAUGGGAGGGGGCGUCCACCCACAAAUGAGUGAAAUCAGUUCUACAUAAUCAAAAGAACUUUGUCAGGUGUUCUAAAAUUUAACGUUCUGAAUAAAUACUGGAAUUCCUUUUAUUUUCAAAUACAUAUCUGAAUACCUAUCCUUUUAUAU